ACCCUCUUAGUAUAACAAGUAUAUUUAACUUCCAAUUAAAAGGACCAUUAAAUGGAGAGAGUA
Molecule: transfer RNA, 63 nt
Filed under: Ectomocoris horridus
Lineage: Eukaryota; Metazoa; Arthropoda; Insecta; Hemiptera; Reduviidae
Description: tRNA-Gly
Source: RNAcentral